This is a regulatory RNA element of Microbacterium ginsengisoli, 97 nucleotides long. It matches the Rfam family "Glycine riboswitch aptamer". Rfam says of the family: This family represents the bacterial glycine riboswitch. Glycine riboswitches usually consist of two metabolite-binding aptamers domains with similar structures in tandem. Lineage: Bacteria; Bacillati; Actinomycetota; Actinomycetes; Micrococcales; Microbacteriaceae. The record is from Rfam.
GUGACCGUAGCGGGAGAGCUCCGUCGCAGCCGGCGACGGGCACCGAAGGAGCAAGCCUCCCCGCCAAUCUCUCAGGUAGCCGUACCGCCCCGGUCGG